UCCUCAUUAGUUUAGAAGUCUUCCGUUUAUCAUCUUCAUUCUUGCUUCAGUAAUCCUCUCUUUGAUUCUUUCCUUCGUUUCUCAGUUCCUCUUUCACUAUCCUCUUGGAUUCCCAAGAUUUAAACCUUCCCUAGAAGGACAAUCUCUCUCUACGCCUAUAGCUAAAUGUGUUCCUACAUGUAUGUGUUGCUUCUGUGGGGCGUUAACUUUGUUGCCCUUUCUAAGAGGAAGAAGAAGAAGAAAGCUUCCAAAUCUCAUAAAGGCGGGAAAGGGAAGCAAAGUUCCGAGCCCUCGGUCCUGGAGGUUCUCCCCAAACACUUGGAUUUCGAUAGAGACGUUGAAGCAUGAGCGUCUGGACAAUUUGGGAGUUCUAAUGUUGAUAAAAUAGAGUAUGUUGUUCAUGAAGAACAUCUCCCCUUAAUUCUAUGUGACUGACGCUGGGGUGACCGUAUCACUGUUCACAUCCCUCAAGCGAACGAAAAGAAUUUUCAGCCACAAGCAUGAUUUUUCCUUAGUGUAUGCUUAUCCAUUUACCUUUGGAUUCGAACCCCCGAUUGGUCCCGUGAUCCUAGAUUAUUGUCACCAUUUUUAUAUGUGCUUGGGUCAAGUUGGGCCGAAUUUCUAGAGGCUCGUGACCGACUUUCGCUUUUUAGUGAGUGUGGCUGACGUCGACUUCUCUCUUUCGAAAUUUUUACAACCUUUUCGCUCCAACUCCAUUUAGAGGGAGCAUCAUCACGAUGGUGAGUUGGGGCACAUGAACUCUUGUGAACUCAGAGGAUGACCAUGACAGGGGUUGGUUCGUCCGAUAUAUUGCAGUCCCUACUUGGUAGUUGAUUCAACCCGAGGACGGGCUUAUUUUGGAGACUUGGAAUGACAAACCCACGCUGGUAGCUCGGAGAGCAUCUCAGACAUUAAGGAGUGGGUCAAAAAUAUCAUGGCAGCCUCUCCGAUAGUGGAGAGGUCACGGAGAUUCAUAUCGCAAGCUUCAGGAUGGAGGGAUAAGGACCAUGUUAAGCACGUUUUACUUUUACGUUCAUAGGAUUUCGUGCUUUGGCGUCAUUUUUUCUUCUUCUUCUUUACGUAUCCCUCUAAGGAAGGCUACUCUAUAAGUGUUAAUCUUUCUCUCCGCUUCCUUUGAUUUUCUCAAGGAAAAGGGUCAAGCAGUUGUCUGCCUUAAAAAGAAGGUCAGACUCGCCAGCUCCCAUUUUGGUAGGCCUCCUAAAAAAAGAACAAGGUCGGACUUUCAUAAAAAGCCUGAUGGUGUUCGAGGUAUUCUCCGAGUUACCCUUCAAAUUGAGCACCCCCAAGAUACUACUCCCAUAGUGAUAUAGGACGAGGGUAUGGAGCCCCCUUGUUCUGAGCCAGUGAGAAGCGAGAUUCUACACAUAGAUCGGGGGAAAGGAAUCACUGAAGAUGAUCCCACCGGAAGACCGGCUUGCCUACACCUACUAGAUCCUUCAGCUCCAUGCCCUCUCCUUACCGGUUCUUCGACGAGUGCCGGUAUCCGUAUGAUUUUUAUUAAGUUACUGAAAAAGAUCAAUCUCUUGAACUGUUCUGGUGAAGGGACGAUGAGGCUAGAAGGGUUAAUAGUUCCCUUAGAAAUGCAUGAGAUAUCUUCCCAAUCCAUAACCAUGUUGGCAAACUAUGUGCUUCAGUGCACCCUUCAGACGAACUUGAUAUCGAUUCGGAUCAAGGAUAGGUUCUCUUUUUAUGAAAGAACCAUAGAAGGAUUGAGAAAUAAUGUUAAAGAUUAGGAAGCUCGUUUUGUAGAGGCACUCUCGGACAAGGAAACCUACUAGCUAUUAGCCCGUUUGACCAAGGAUGAUCUGAAGGAGCUGAAGAGGGAGAUCGAGAAGACGGGAACAACACAUAGUUGUAGGGUCGAGAAUUUGGAGGCAUCUAUAGCUGAGAAAGAAGAGCAAGCAAACCAGUAAGUCGAUGUUGAUGCAACACUGACAUAAAACCUAGCUCGAGCCAAGUUGCGUGCAUUAUAUCUUGAGCAGACCCAUGGGUCAUGGAAGGACUCAAACGAUACUCAACAGGUCGAGGUGAACAGGCUACCGGGAGAGAAGGAUAGCAUGGCCUGAGCUUGAUAAGUUGAAGCUACAAUCAGAGCUGGCGUAAAACAUUGGAGGGCGCCCGUGCGGGGAUCCUUGAUUAGGAAAAAGAAAUUAAAAUCCAAGGCGAGCUAUGGAGGAAGCCAAACUCACUCUUAAUAUGGACGCACCCGAGGGAGGACUUCCGAAGGAUGUAGAAUUUGCUGGCUUUUCAGUGGAAGACAUCAAAGGAGUACCUCCUAGCUCGAGUCCUGGCCCUUCGAACUCUUGGGGUGGCCCAUCAUCUUCCUACCCUUCUUCAAUUGGGACCGUACCUCAAGAUCCACAGUCUCCCUUCCCUCCGGGUGGGGACCAUUGAUGGUGCCAUUUCAAUUAGGGCAGUUCAAAAUCGAACCAAAACUGUUAACCGAAUCGAAUCAAUGACUUAUUGGCU
Long non-coding RNA from Nicotiana tabacum (common tobacco), 2490 nucleotides. RefSeq lists it as uncharacterized. Lineage: Eukaryota; Viridiplantae; Streptophyta; Magnoliopsida; Solanales; Solanaceae. The record is from RefSeq and is a predicted model, not a curated record.